This 639-nucleotide ribosomal RNA is filed under the name Cypridopsis vidua. Its description in RNAcentral is "SSU rRNA". It matches the Rfam family "Eukaryotic small subunit ribosomal RNA", at positions 1073 to 1735 of the family's 1831-position model. The record is from RNAcentral. Lineage: Eukaryota; Metazoa; Arthropoda; Ostracoda; Podocopida; Cyprididae.
CGACAAAAUACUUGCAAAGGGAAAAACCAAAUUUUUUCAAUUCCCAAGGAACAAGGGUUGCAAGGCUGGAGCUUAAAGGAAUUGACGGAAGGGCACCACCAGGAGUGGAGCCUGUGGCUUAAUUUGACUCAACGCGGGGAAGCUCACGAGGCCCGGACACUGGAAGGAUUGACAGAUUGAGAGCUCUUUCUUGAUUCGGUGGGUGGUGGUGCAUGGCCGUUCUUAGUUGGUGGAGUGAUUUGUCUGGUUAAUUCCGAUAACGAACGAGACUCUGGCUUACUAAAUAGGCGGCGGAUCUUUGUAUCCGCUAUGUCUUCUUAGAGGGAUAAGGCAGCUCUAAGCUGCAUGAGAAGGGGCAAUAACAGGUCUGUGAUGCCCUUAGAUGUUCUCGGCCGCACACGCGCUACACUGAAAGAGGCAACGUGUUUGCCUGAUUCGAAAGAAUUGGGUAACCCCCUAAUCUCUUUCGUGCUGGGGAUUGAGGUUUGCAAUUAUCCUUCAUGAACGAGGAAUUCCCAGUAAGUGCGAGUCAUUAUCUCGCGCUGACUACGUCCCUGCCCUUUGUACACACCGCCCGUCGCUACUACCGAUUGAAUGAUUUAGUGAGGACUUCGGACUGAGUCCAAUGCGGCUUUCGGG